CAGUCGCCACGGUAAUACAGAGGGUGCGAGCGUUAAUCGGAUUUACUGGGCGUAAAGCGUGCGUAGGCGGCUAAUUGAGUCGGAUGUGAAAUCCCCGAGCUUAACUUGGGAAUUGCAUUCGAUACUGGUUAGCUAGAGUGUGGGAGAGGAUGGUAGAAUUCCAGGUGUAGCGGUGAAAUGCGUAGAGAUCUGGAGGAAUACCGAUGGCGAAGGCAGCCAUCUGGCCUAACACUGACGCUGAGGUACGAAAGCAUGGGGAGCAAACAGGAUUAGAUACCCCCGUAGUCCCUGUCUCUUAUAA
This 301-nucleotide ribosomal RNA is filed under the name uncultured bacterium. Its description in RNAcentral is "partial 16S ribosomal RNA". It matches the Rfam family "Bacterial small subunit ribosomal RNA", at positions 509 to 809 of the family's 1533-position model. The record is from RNAcentral.